UCCGGGACUCCAAAGCCCCUCACCCACCACCACCAUGGCAGGAAAAGGUGCCAAAGGGACGCUGGGUUAGCUCUAUGCUUCAUCCGUGCAACCCCUCCAAGAAGUCACGUACUCCCUGGAGACUGCCACGUGGCUGUUCUUCUUUCUCAGGCCUCCGUGCAGUUGCAGUUGGAACUUGUUCAUGUUGCCGGCUGGUUCCGGCACUCCCCCAUUGCGAUAGCAGAGGUAUGGGAAGCAGCAGACACUGCCCAGGCCCACGGCGUAGCCCACACUCAUCAGUAUAAACUCGAUCUGGCUGCCCCAGUUGCCCCGUUGGCAGCUGUGGUCCUCCUCGGUGGCCUCGCUGGGCAUAGCACCAUUCUAUGCAGACAGGAGAAAAGCCACCAUCAGCAAGGCAUUGGCAUGAGGUGCCUGACCCUUCAGACCUCACCCAGUGGGGACACCGUGGACCCUCCAGGCCC
Molecule: long non-coding RNA, 461 nt
Filed under: Cervus hanglu yarkandensis (Yarkand deer)
Lineage: Eukaryota; Metazoa; Chordata; Mammalia; Artiodactyla; Cervidae
Description: lncRNA (ENSCHYG00000010857.1)
Source: RNAcentral